UCAUCGCCCCUUCCCACUGCUCCAUAGGAGCCCACUGCUGUAGCAGGCGGGCCCACCAGAGCCCUUCUGGCUGCAGAAUAUUGAGGGGGGUCUGACCCCCUCAUUGAACAAUUUGUGGGUGCAUGGGCAUAUGCCUAUCCGCAUAUAAGACGAGCAUCGUCUUAUACAUGGAAAAAUACGGUACCUUCUGUUUAAAUACUUUUUAGCUUUCCAAACCAUUUUACAGAUUUUAAAUGACAGUACCCCACCCUACUUAUGCUCGUCUACGAUGGUAAUAAAAAAAGAUUGCUUGAAGUGGAUAACUCUUGUAGAAAAAUGACUUAAAUCCUUCUGGGAUUUAAGACUAUUACAACAUUUUCUAGGCCUUCUGAUUCUCUUUCCACCUAGGUCCACUCAUUGCUACAAAGGAUCUCAUUCAACAACAGUGCUGAGGAUGAAAUCACAUUAAAUGAACAUGGAGAAAUAGCAGCUGGCUUUGAUAUUGCAAACCUGGUCACUUUCCCAAAUAAUUCCUACGUCAGGGUCAAAGUCGGAAAGCUGGAUCCUCAGGCCCCUCCUGGCAAAGAACUCAUCAUUAAUGGGAACGGAAUCCAAUGGCACAGAGUCUUCACUCAGGUAAGGAAAUCACUGUGGGGGGAGGUGCUGCCCAACUGCUGCUGCCACUAGUAAUAAUGCUGCUACUAAUAAUUUUAUUAAUAACAAAUGAACCACAUAAUCAAAAAGAGCAAUAUGCACAGAAGACAUGUCACACCAAGAAGGACCAAUGGCUAUCAGACAGUGUUGUCCAACAUGCUUGUUGGUCCAAGGCGGUUUUCCAGUUAUCAUAGAAUCAUAGAAUCAUAGAAUCAUAGAAUCAUAGAAUCAUAGAGUUGGAAGAGACCACAAGGGCCAUCGAGUCCAACCCCCUGCCAAGCAGGAAACACCAUCAGAGCACUUCUGACAUAUGGUUGUCAAGCCUCUGCAGUGGCACUAUUACUUCCCUUGAUCUAGAUGCUAUACUCCUAUUGAUGCAGCCCAGAAUUGCAUUGGCUUUUUUAGCUGCCGCGUCACACUGUUGGCUCAUGUCAAGUUUGUGGUCAACCAAGACUCCUAGAUCCUUUUCACAUGUACUGCUCUCAAGCCAGGUGUCCCCCAUCUUGUAUUUGUGCUUCUCAUUUUGUUUUGCCCAAGUGCAAUACUUUACAUUUCUCCCUGUUAAAAUUCAUCUUGUUUGUUUUGGCCCAGUUCUCUAAUCUGUCAAGGUCGUUUUGAAGUGUGAUCCUGUCCUCUGGGGUGUUAGCCACCCCUCCCAAUUUGGUGUCAUCUGCAAAUUUGAUCAGGAUGCCCUUGAGUCCAUCAUCCAAGUCGUUGAUAAAGAUGUUGAAUAAGACCGGGCCCAAGACAGAACCCUGUGGCACCCCACUAGUCACUCUUCUCCAGGAUGAAGAGGAACCAUUGAUGAACACCCUUUGGGUUCGGUCAGUCAGCCAGUUACAAAUCCACUGAGUGGUAGCAUAGUCAAGACCACAUUUUACCAGCUUCUUUACAAGAAUAUCAUGAGGCACCUUGUCAAAUGCCUUGCUGAAAUCAAGGUAGGCUACAUCCACUGCGUUCCCUUCAUCUAUCAGGCUUGUAAUUCUGUCAAAAAACGAGAUCAGGUUAGUCUGACAUGACUUAUUUUUCAGAAAUCCAUGCUGACUAUUGGUGAUCACAGCAUUCCUUUCUAGGUGCUCACAGACUGUUUGCUUAAUGAUCUGCUCCAGAAUCUUCCCUGGUAUUGAUGUCAGACUGACUGGGCGGUAAUUAUUUGGGUCCUCUCUUUUCCCCUUUUUGAAAAUAGGGACAACAUUUGCCCUCCUCCAGUCUGCCGGGACUUUGCCUGUUCUCCAGGAAUUCUCAAAGAUGACUGCCAGUGGUUCUGAGAUCACAUCUGCCAGUUCUUUUAAUACUCUUGGAUGCAGUUCAUCUGGCCCUGGAGACUUGAAUACAUCUAAACUAGCCAAGUAUUCUUGUACUAUCUCCUUAGUUAUUCUGGGCUGUGUUUCCUUUGCUGAAUCAUUUGCUCCAAAUUCUUCAGGUCGGGCAUUGUUUUCUUUAUCGGAGAAGACUGAGGCAAAGAAGGCAUUGAGGAGUUCAGCCCUUCCUGUGUCCCCUGUUUGCAUUUCACCAUCUUCUCCUCUGAGUGACCCCACUGUUUCUUUGUUCUUCCUUUUGCUACGGACAUACCCAUAAAAGCCUUUUUUGUUGCUUUUAACCUCUCUAGCAAGCCUGAGUUCAUUCUGUGCUUUAGCUUUUCUGACUUUGUGUCUACACGUGCUGGCUAUUUGUUUGAAUUCCUCUUUGGUGGUUUUCCCCUUUUUCCAUUUUUUGUACACAUCCUUUUUUAAUCUUAACUCAGUUAAAAGUUCUUUAGAUAGCCACCCUGGCUUCUUUAGGCACCUUCCAUGUUUCCGUCUCAUUGGUAUUGCCUGACGUUGUGCUUUUAGUAUCUCCCUCUUAACAAACUCCCAGCCAUCAUGAACUCCCUUUCCUUUUAGUCUUACUGUCCAUGGGAUCUCACCCUGUUAGUAGCAUUAGAUAGAUUGCUAACAUUGUAAUCUUCUGCUGCCUCUUGUAACUCUAGUGUCGAGUUGGAAUGCUAGAAGCCGGGAUGUACAUAAUUGUGUGUCAGGUUGGCUUCUGCCACAGGCCCAGGCCCAGGGGGAGCCCCCCAAAUCAUGCCUUGCUCGGAGUGGUUACUAGCCCGGCUGCUAGUAACUCCAUAUACUCCAUCAGCUGUGGACAAGGCAUGCAGGCUCCUCUCAAUGCCUCAUGUUUCUGAUUUAUUCAAUCCAAGGCCUGUCAGCACUAGUUGCCUACAAAAUCAUAUAUUUUUAAAAAAGGUCAUUGGAAAAAUGUUGGAAAUAUUUCUUUUUGAAAAAGUCGCAACUUAUUUUAUGUACACAUUUUAUUGUAGUUCCCUGCUUUUUAUGAAGUUGGUUUUCUAAAACCAGUCCACCACAACCCCAAUACAUCUUCCAUCAGUGUACCUACAUUUUCUGUGCACCAUUUUCGCUGCCUCUCUUUUUUCCAAUGGUAUAAGUGAUAGGGCUGUCCAAAUAAGAGCAAAACCACAGUAAUUCACUACCUCCAAAUCCCAACUCCUUGAAGCCCACUAAGGGGACAUCAAGUGAAAUUACAGCAGCAAAGAGCAGGAGGCUGUAGUACCAUAAAAAGAAAUAACCAGUAGUGUAUUAGAUCAAAUUAUCUGAUGGUUGUAGCAAUGGUCAAUCUAGAUAUGAACAUUGUAAUCUUCUUGUGUUUGUAUGAUGCUUAGAACUGUAACUUUUUCUCCCACUGUGUAUGUGCUGCUUUGGCACAUAGAAAACCUAUAGCUAACAUUUCUGGCCCUCCUACUUACUGGUAGAUCACCUGAUGUUACAUGAAUCCCCUAAAAUAUUGUCUUAAUAUUAACCUCUUUGUGUCUCUUUGGAUAGGUGCCACCCCUUUCAUUAUGUAAUGCCAACUGCCUUCCCGGUUAUGAGAAGAAAAAGAAGGAGGGGAAGAAGUUCUGUUGUUAUGAUUGUGAUCCAUGUCCUCGUGGGAUGUUCUCAAAUGAGAAGGGUGAGAGAUGCCAUAUCACCAUAUACAAGCUAUUAUAGUAAAUUCUGAGCAAAUUAGCAAUGAGGUUUGCUCUGUAUGGUCUCAAUUUAUAUUGUUUAUUAACAAUACAGUGGUACCUUGGGUUACAUACGCUUCAGGUUACAUACGCUUCAGGUUACAGACUCCGCUAACCCAGAAAUAGUACCUUGGGUUAAGAACUUUGCUUCAGGAUGAGAACAGAAAUUGUGCUCCAGCGGCGUGGCAGCAGCAGCAGGAGGCCUCAUUAGCUAAAGUGGUGCUUCAGGUUAAGAACAGUUUCAGGUUAAGAACGGACCUCCGGAACAAAUUAAGUACUUAACCCGAGGUACCACUGGAGUAGAAUAAUCUCCCUUCUGUCUGUGUAAAAGCUGCCACUAUGAAGAAAUUAUCUUAACCUUCAAGAGAGUAUACCAUGAGGAUGUGACCGUAAUCUGUAAUGUAAAGAUUUUCCAUCAGUGUACCUACAUACAUUGAUAUUCUAAACAUUACAAGUAAAGGUAAAGGGACCCCUGACCAUUAGGUCCGGUCGUGGCCGACUCUGGGGUUGCGGCGCUCAUCUCACUUUAUUGGCCGAGGGAGCCGGCGUACAGCUUCAGGGUCAUGUGUCCAGCAUGACUCUGGCGAACCAGAGCAGCGCAUGGAAACGCCCUUUACCUUCCCGCCGGAGCGGUACCUAUUUAUCUACUUGCACUUUGACGUGCUUUCGAACUGCUAGGUUGGCAGGAGCAGGGAACGAGCAACAGGAGCUCACCCCGUCACGGGGAUUCGAACCGCCGACGUUCUGCUUGGCAAGUCCUAAGCUCUGUGGUUUAACCCACAGCGCCACCCGCGUCCCAUUCUAAACAUUACUGCAUACAAUAUUCUCUAAUUUUUAAAAAAAUAUAUAUUAUUAUUAAAGUUUUCUUGGUUUACAAAGGUAUAUGCAGUGUCUCUUUUUUUCAAGUUACAUUUUCCAUAGGUCAGUUCAUUUGUUGAGACAUUAGGGUUACAUUAGGAAGAGAAAAGGGGGGAAGAGGUGGAGGGGGCCAUGGUGCGUGGGGGUGGGGUCGGGAGGCGAUAUUUCUAUUUUGCUUAAUGUAUGUGUGGGGUUUUGUGUCAGCGUAGAUUGUGCAGGUGCUCUUUGCUAUUCGCAUGUGUUCCUUUGGUGGUGAGAUAGAUUGGGGUUGGCCUAGGUGCAGUUGCUUGCUUGUGGUUGCUUGUGGUGAACUUUGUUUUCGUGUGUGAAUGGGGGUAGAUGGGUGUUUUGGAUCAGGUAACCAUAUUGAUUCAUAUGCUGUUGGUGGAUUCUUGUCAUUGUCUUGUUGGGCUGUGUAUGUGAUAAAGGGGAGCCAUACCGGAGUGAAGGUAUCUUCUUCUAUUUGUCAUCGUGUCACUUUCAGUUUAUUGGUUAAUUUUUCAAGUAGCGCUGUUUCCCAUACUAUUUGGUACAAUUGGUCCAUGCUUACUCCUGACAGGUCUUUCCAGUGUCUGACUAUGAUGUUUGUGGUUGCUGAGAGUAGGUGGGUUAUGAGUUCUUUGUGAUGUGAGUGGGCAUUGUUGUCUUGGAAUAUGAUUAGUAGGGCCAGUUCUGGGGUGAUUUCUAAUACUUGCUUAGUUAUUUUACAUUUCUUGUGUUACUAUUGUCCAGAAUAGUUGGUUUUGGGGCAUUCCCACCGCAUCUGUAGGUAUGUGCCUGUGGAGGUGCACCCUCUCCAGCAUUUUGCUGAGGUUCCUGGGUGUAUUAGCGCUAGUUUCCUUGUUGUUAGGUAAUAUUCUCUAAUGUUUAAUGCAGUUUCUCAUUGAUGGUGGCUCACUGCUGUGCUGCCACAUUUUAAUAACACAUUUUAAUGAUAUACACCAUGAGUGUAGAUCCGCCCCUCUGUUUUGAUGCAAAAAGACAUAAAAAUUGUACAUGCAUUCUGCCCUGGAAGAAACCAAGGUUUUGGGGGAGGCAGGAUGGAAAAGAAUUGGGGUCUUUAUUCUAAGAACAAGGUUCCUUGGGAACUUUAUCUUCAAAGCUUCUAGGGCACAAGCAUUUCGACUAGAAGUUUUGAAACUUAUCCUCGUGGAAACACUAUGGUAAGGGAACUCAUGAUUUUAAAAAAAAACUCUUAAGCAUAUACUGGAUUGUUUCCAAUUGUCAUACCACCUUUUUCAGGAUUGGAAACCUGUGCAAGAUGUCCUCCAGAGCAAUAUCCAAAUGAAGAGCAGAAUCAGUGCAUUCCCAAGAAAACACACGUCCUAGGCUUUGGGGAAACUUUGGCCAUUGUUUCAACUUUCUCUGCACUUUUAUUCUCUCUAAUCACAGCAAUGGUACUUGGCAUUUUCAUUAAGCACCGGGACACUGCCAUCGUCAAAGCCAACAACAGAAGCC
Molecule: non-coding RNA, 5953 nt
Organism: Podarcis lilfordi (Lilford's wall lizard)
Lineage: Eukaryota; Metazoa; Chordata; Lepidosauria; Squamata; Lacertidae
Source: the annotation of a GenBank genome assembly